GCCGGAAUGGCGGAAUGGCAGACGCAGUGGACUCAAAAUCCACCGGUGGCAGCAUCGUGAGGGUUCGAGUCCCUCUUCCGGCACCA
RNAcentral lists this transfer RNA (86 nucleotides) under Candidatus Sumerlaeota bacterium. RNAcentral describes it as "tRNA-Leu". It matches the Rfam family "tRNA". Rfam says of the family: Transfer RNA (tRNA) molecules are approximately 80 nucleotides in length. Their secondary structure includes four short double-helical elements and three loops (D, anti-codon, and T loops). RNAcentral also lists the same sequence under 1 other name. Lineage: Bacteria; Candidatus Sumerlaeota. The record is from RNAcentral.